UUAAUCAGCCUUCAGCACUCUGACACCUGUAAUUAUUUUCGUCUAUUUAACAGGUAAUGCUUCUUUGUGAAAGGUGCAUGGACGGCUUUUUGCUUCAUAAUUCUAGUUUAAAACUGGGACUUUAAUGACCUGCAAGAUGCACGGUGAAGAUGAAACGUGUCUGUCUCAGUGAGUUUUCAUCAGAACAAACAGCAGUGAGGUUAAUUCCAUGCAAAAGACUAAAAUACCUUAUGAGUCUUUAAAAAAAUUAAAAAUUAAAAAUUAUAUAUAUAUAUAUAUAUAUAUAUAUAUAUAAGGCUCUAUAUCCCAGUUGUGUUUUCUAAUACUUCCUACCAGAGCAGUCAUGGUGGCAGUCCUUCUAACUACUGUUACAGCCUAAUCUGUUCACUGAAGCCUGGACUAAUGCAGUUUUUAUCUUUUAUGUGACGAUAGUUUAUGAUUACAUUGCAUUACAUUUGCAAGUACCUCUGAAGCAGCGGCUAAAUUACCUUUUAAUGCAAGAGACUGAGUAGUAAAUAAUAAGGCAACGUUCCAGCUGACAUCGGCGAGCGGCAUCGUAACCUGAUGACUGUCUCGAUACGAAGAUCUCACAGCAUCUCUGACACGCUGCGGUUUGUUUGUUUUGAAGUGGAAAGAAGGAGUCCUGGCCGGUACCAGGGCUAAUGAGGAAACUACACGAAUAACCCUUGAUGUUUACUGCUUAUUAGAGUAUUUAUGGAUGAAGGAUGAACGUCUACAACCAGACAGAAACACCCAAUAACAGAUGAUAGAUGCCAGUCGCUCCCCCCCUCAGCACCAGGCUCCUGUCACAGUGAUACCUUGGAAGACCAAUGAGUCAUCGUGGCUGCAUAACACACACACACACACACACACACACACACACACACACACACAUACACGCACACACACUCUCACACACACACACACAUCAACAUCCUGGCGUGUGGGAUUAAUGAGGACUACAAGUUGUUCAGAUUCUCGUGAUCAUCACUUAAAGAACACACAUGUUGAAAACCUGUUCUUCAGGUGAAGGUGGACAGAUGAUGGAUGGAUGGACGAGUUCUGAACAUGACUUUGUUUUGUAGAAGCGUCCCGACAGCAGCAGCAUGAGUUAAUUUAAGUCAGUGCAGAAUAGUGGGUUGUGUGUUUAUCAGUUGGGGGAUGCAGGAAGUUGUUUGUUCUUGUUUUUACCAUAUGAGAAGAGUCUGUCUCUAUCAAACCUGCUUAAAUGAAGUGAUGCAGUCCUCACAUUCAGUCCUUUCAUCAUCAAACGUAAUCAGCUUGGACCAGGACGGGACUCGUGUGGUUCUAGAUUUUGUUAUUGUCAAUCCAUGGCAGCAGUGAAGAGACCAGAAGCAACCGCCCAGACCUUUGUGUUCCCAUCCCAGACCAAUAUCUUUGAAUACAACUCAGCACAGUUCUUAUUAUUUUAUUCCUUAAAAAGCCUUGUAUGUAGCCUCGACACCUGGACCAGCGGCCCGGUACGAGCUUUAAUGCCAGCAGCCUGUGACGUUUGGUUCAAGGUUCUCAAGGGACUUUAAAUACUGUUUAUUGUUUCUAUGUGGUGAUUUUCUGCAUCGACCAUAAUCCCAGUUUUAAUCCUGUCCUUAUAUUUUCCAGCAUUGUUGAUUUAGUGUGUACUAGUUGGUCUGUGGAAGUAUUCAGAUGCACUAUUACACACUAGCAGUGCCUGUGCUGACACACUGAAAGCUUCCUAAUAAACUCUACUGAACACCAA
This is a long non-coding RNA of Stegastes partitus (bicolor damselfish), 1738 nucleotides long. RefSeq lists it as uncharacterized. The transcript is spliced from 2 exons. The record is from RefSeq and is a predicted model, not a curated record. NCBI's taxonomy places the organism in Eukaryota, Metazoa, Chordata, Actinopteri, Pomacentridae.